AGUGAACGCUGGCGGUAGGCCUAACACAUGCAAGUCGAACGGCAGCACAGUAAGAGCUUGCUCUUACGGGUGGCGAGUGGCGGACGGGUGAGGAGUACAUCGGAAUCUACUUUUUCGUGGGGGAUAAUGUAGGGAAACUUACGCUAAUACCGCAUACGACCUACGGGUGAAAGCAGGGGAUCUUCGGACCUUGCGCGAUUGAAUGAGCCGAUGUCGGAUUAGCUAGUUGGCGGGGUAAAGGCCCACCAAGGCGACGAUCCGUAGCUGGUCUGAGAGGAUGAUCAGCCACACUGGAACUGAGACACGGUCCAGACUCCUACGGGAGGCAGCAGUGGGGAAUAUUGGACAAUGGGCGCAAGCCUGAUCCAGCCAUACCGCGUGGGUGAAGAAGGCCUUCGGGUUGUAAAGCCCUUUUGUUGGGAAAGAAAAGCAGCAGGUUAAUACCCCGCUGUUCUGACGGUACCCAAAGAAUAAGCACCGGCUAACUUCGUG
This 492-nucleotide ribosomal RNA is filed under the name uncultured bacterium. Its description in RNAcentral is "partial 16S ribosomal RNA". It matches the Rfam family "Bacterial small subunit ribosomal RNA", at positions 29 to 507 of the family's 1533-position model. The record is from RNAcentral.